GUGAAUCAUCAAAUCUUUGAACGCACCUUGCACUCUCUGGUAUUCCGAGGAGUAUGCUUGCUUGAGUGUUAGUUUGUUACAAUCGUCACAAGAAUUUUUUACGGAUCUGGAUUUUCCAAGAGUUAUAUUUUUGGUAAUCUAAAAUUUAUCAUAACAAUAGGAGAUAUUGGAAAUGUUUAUUUUUGAUUCAUUAACAAUUAUUACCAAGUUUGUUACGUCGUGUUAUUUUCCUAAUUUCUUAAUUAGGUAAAGUAAUACAAUUUGGAAAUCUGACCUCGCGUCAAGUAAGAAUACCCGCUGA
RNAcentral lists this unclassified non-coding RNA (301 nucleotides) under Acaulospora lacunosa. Its description in RNAcentral is "partial contains 5.8S ribosomal RNA and internal transcribed spacer 2". The stretch from base 1 to 71 matches the Rfam family "5.8S ribosomal RNA", at positions 84 to 154 of the family's 154-position model. The record is from RNAcentral. Lineage: Eukaryota; Fungi; Glomeromycota; Glomeromycetes; Diversisporales; Acaulosporaceae.